RNAcentral lists this ribosomal RNA (254 nucleotides) under uncultured bacterium. RNAcentral describes it as "partial 16S ribosomal RNA". It matches the Rfam family "Bacterial small subunit ribosomal RNA", at positions 524 to 776 of the family's 1533-position model. The record is from RNAcentral.
UACGUAGGGUGCAAGCGUUAUCCGGAAUUAUUGGGCGUAAAGAGCUCGUAGGCGGUCUGUCGCGUCUGCUGUGAAAACUCAGGGCUUAACCCUGAGCUUGCAGUGGGUACGGGCAGACUAGAGUGCGGUAGGGGGAGAUUGGAAUUCCUGGUGUAGCGGUGGAAUGCGCAGAUAUCAGGAGGAACACCGAUGGCGAAGGCAGAUCUCUGGGCCGUAACUGACGCUGAGGAGCGAAAGCGUGGGGAGCGAACAGG